GCGGCGAGUGGUCAGUGCAGUUCGGAAGGGAGCGUGGGGUCUUGAGGGACGGGAAAGAGGGGUACAUAGGCUUAGUGAUAGAGCCUGGCGGGGGUGAAGAAGGGGCAAACCAGAUUUCAUUUGACUUUGCUGACCUUCGCCUUGUCUAUCUGCAGCCCCCUCUCUGAAGAAUGCAGCCUUCCUAGGUCCAGGGGUAUUGCAGGCAACAAGGACCUUUCAUACAGGGCAGCCACACCUUGUCCCCGUACCACCUCUUCCUGAAUACGGAGGAAAAGUUCGUUAUGGACUGAUCCCUGAGGAAUUCUUCCAGUUUCUUUAUCCUAAAACUGGUGUAACAGGACCCUAUGUACUCGGAACUGGGCUUAUCUUGUACGCUUUAUCCAAAGAAAUAUACGUGAUUAGCGCAGAGACCUUCACUGCCCUAUCAGUACUAGGUGUAAUGGUCUAUGGAAUUAAAAAAUAUGGUCCCUUUGUUGCAGACUUUGCUGAUAAACUCAAUGAGCAAAAACUUGCCCAACUAGAAGAGGCGAAGCAGGCUUCCAUCCAACACAUCCAGAAUGCAAUUGAUAUGGAGAAGUCACAACAGGCACUGGUUCAGAAGCGCCAUUACCUUUUUGAUGU
Molecule: small RNA, 621 nt
Filed under: Pan troglodytes (chimpanzee)
Lineage: Eukaryota; Metazoa; Chordata; Mammalia; Primates; Hominidae
Description: processed transcript
Source: RNAcentral